This 253-nucleotide ribosomal RNA is filed under the name uncultured bacterium. RNAcentral describes it as "partial 16S ribosomal RNA". It matches the Rfam family "Bacterial small subunit ribosomal RNA", at positions 524 to 776 of the family's 1533-position model. The record is from RNAcentral.
UACGUAGGGUGCGAGCGUUGUCCGGAAUUAUUGGGCGUAAAGGGCUCGUAGGCGGUUUGUCGCGUCUGCUGUGAAAAUCCAGGGCUUAACCCUGGACCUGCAGUGGGUACGGGCAGACUGGAGUGCGGUAGGGGAGAUCGGAAUUCCUGGUGUAGCGGUGAAAUGCGCAGAUAUCAGGAGGAACACCGGUGGCGAAGGCGGAUCUCUGGGCCGUAACUGACGCUGAGGAGCGAAAGCGUGGGGAGCGAACAGG